GACGAACGCUGGCGGCGUGCUUAACACAUGCAAGUCGAACGCUGAAGACCUGGCUUUUUUUGGUUUGGAUGAGUGGCGAACGGGUGAGUAACACGUGAGUAACCUGCCCUCUUCUUUGGGAUAACGCCCGGAAACGGGUGCUAAUACUGGAUAUUCACUGAUCUUCGCAUGGGGGUUGGUGGAUCGGUUUUUUCUGGUUGGGGUUGGGCUCUCUGGCUAUCAGCUUGUUGGUGGGGUGAUGGCCUACCAAGCCUCUGACGGGUAGUCGGCCGGGGAGGGGGACAGGGGAAAUGGGAACUGGGAUACAGUCCAGACGCAUGCGGGAGGCGGCAGUGGGGAAUAUUGCGCGAAGGGCGAAAGCAGGAAGAAGGGACGGGGCGUGAGGGAUGGAGGCCUUCGGGUUGUAAACGUCUUGCAAUAAUGGUCAAGCCGCAACUGUGGGUUGUGGUGAGGGUAGUGGGUAAAGAAGCGCCGGCUAACUACGUG
This 486-nucleotide ribosomal RNA is filed under the name uncultured bacterium. RNAcentral's name for it is "partial 16S ribosomal RNA". It matches the Rfam family "Bacterial small subunit ribosomal RNA", at positions 28 to 507 of the family's 1533-position model. The record is from RNAcentral.